GCCCCGGUAAACGGCGGCCGUAACUAUAACGGUCCUAAGGUAGCGAAAUUCCUUGUCGGGUAAGUUCCGACCUGCACGAAUGGCGUAAUGAUGGCCAGGCUGUCUCCACCCGAGACUCAGUGAAAUUGAACUCGCUGUGAAGAUGCAGUGUACCCGCGGCAAGACGGAAAGACCCCGUGAACCUUUACUAUAGCUUGACACUGAACAUUGAGCCUUGAUGUGUAGGAUAGGUGGGAGGCUUUGAAGUGUGGACGCCAGUCUGCAUGGAGCCGACCUUGAAAUACCACCCUUUAAUGUUUGAUGUUCUAACGUUGGCCCGUAAUCCGGGUUGCGGACAGUGUCUGGUGGGUAGUUUGACUGGGGCGGUCUCCUCCUAAAGAGUAACGGAGGAGCACGAAGGUUGGCUAAUCCUGGUCGGACAUCAGGAGGUUAGUGCAAUGGCAUAAGCCAGCUUGACUGCGAGCGUGACGGCGCGAGCAGGUGCGAAAGCAGGUCAUAGUGAUCCGGUGGUUCUGAAUGGAAGGGCCAUCGCUCAACGGAUAAAAGGUACUCCGGGGAUAACAGGCUGAUACCGCCCAAGAGUUCAUAUCGACGGCGGUGUUUGGCACCUCGAUGUCGGCUCAUCACAUCCUGGGGCUGAAGUAGGUCCCAAGGGUAUGGCUGUUCGCCAUUUAAAGUGGUACGCGAGCUGGGUUUAGAACGUCGUGAGACAGUUCGGUCCCUAUCUGCCGUGGGCGCUGGAGAACUGAGGGGGGCUGCUCCUAGUACGAGAGGACCGGAGUGGACGCAUCACUGGUGUUCGGGUUGUCAUGCCAAUGGCACUGCCCGGUAGCUAAAUGCGGAAGAGAUAAGUGCUGAAAGCAUCUAAGCACGAAACUUGCCCCGAGAUGAGUUCUCCCUGACUCCUUGAGGGUCCUGAAGGAACGUUGAAGACGACGACGUU
This 943-nucleotide ribosomal RNA is filed under the name Escherichia coli. RNAcentral's name for it is "partial 23S ribosomal RNA". It matches the Rfam family "Bacterial large subunit ribosomal RNA", at positions 1917 to 2854 of the family's 2925-position model. Lineage: Bacteria; Pseudomonadati; Pseudomonadota; Gammaproteobacteria; Enterobacterales; Enterobacteriaceae. The record is from RNAcentral.